AGUGAACGCUGGCGGUAGGCCUAACACAUGCAAGUCGAACGGCAGCACAGUAAGAGCUUGCUCUUACGGGUGGCGAGUGGCGGACGGGUGAGGAAUACAUCGGAAUCUACUUUUUCGUGGGGGAUAACGUAGGGAAACUUACGCUAAUACCGCAUACGACCUACGGGUGAAAGCAGGGGAUCUUCGGACCUUGCGCGAUUGAAUGAGCCGAUGUCGGAUUAGCUAGUUGGCGGGGUAAAGGCCCACCAAGGCGACGAUCCGUAGCUGGUCUGAGAGGAUGACCACCCACACUGGAACUGAGACCCGGCCCAGGCCCCUACGGGGGGCCGGAGGGGGGAAUUUUGGCCAAGGGGCCAAACCCUGCCCCCCCCAUCCCGCGUGGGUGAAAAAGGCCUUCGGUUUGUAAAGCCCUUUUGUUGGGAAAAAAAAGAAGCAGGUUAAUCCCCCGCUUUUCUGACGGUACCCAAAGAAUAAGCCCCGGCUAACUGCGU
RNAcentral lists this ribosomal RNA (491 nucleotides) under uncultured bacterium. RNAcentral's name for it is "partial 16S ribosomal RNA". It matches the Rfam family "Bacterial small subunit ribosomal RNA", at positions 29 to 506 of the family's 1533-position model. The record is from RNAcentral.